CCUCUCCCUGUGCCAUCCUCACCAGUAUCCAGGCCUUCGACUCCAGAACAAGAACAAACAGAGGAGAGUCAGGAGUUGAAGGCCAUGAAUGAUGCUUUGAUGGAAGAGGCUAUGAAGGAAGAGAUUUCACACUUAAACCAGGAAUUAUUCCACCUCAGCCAAAGAGUCAGAAACAUUAAUCUCAAUGCAUUGAAUGAUGAAAGACUUGAGAACUUGAUUGAAGGUGUGUAAACAAUAUGUCAGCCUUCAUGAAAGAGUUUAAAAGAGACCACUGUGGCUCAAGAGGCAGAAGUUGAUUCUCUCCGGAGUUUUCUGCUUGAAGCCUUCGCCUAUGUUGAGAACAUGAGGGCAAGAAUAAAGCUACAAAAUAACCCUGAGUUAGUACAGUAUUUGUUAAGGGUAUUCUUUCUAAAAUAUGUCAUUCUUAACCCUUUUAAUGCCAGACAUUU
This is a long non-coding RNA of Homalodisca vitripennis (glassy-winged sharpshooter), 449 nucleotides long. RefSeq lists it as uncharacterized. Lineage: Eukaryota; Metazoa; Arthropoda; Insecta; Hemiptera; Cicadellidae. The transcript has 3 exons. The record is from RefSeq and is a predicted model, not a curated record.